RNAcentral lists this ribosomal RNA (253 nucleotides) under uncultured bacterium. Its description in RNAcentral is "partial 16S ribosomal RNA". It matches the Rfam family "Bacterial small subunit ribosomal RNA", at positions 524 to 776 of the family's 1533-position model. The record is from RNAcentral.
CACGGGGGGAGCAAGCGUUGUUCGGAAUCACUGGGCGUAAAGGGUGUCUAGGCGGUCAGGUAAGUGAGAUGUGAAAUGCCCCGGCUUACCCGGGGACCGGCAUCUCAUACUGUCUGGCUUGAGUAUGGGAGAGGAUGAGGGAAUUCCUGGUGUAGCGGUGAAAUGCGUAGAUAUCAGGAAGAACACCCGUGGCUAAGGCGGCUCUCUAGUACGUGACUGACGCUGAGACGCGAAAGCGUGGGGAGCGAACAGG